RNAcentral lists this ribosomal RNA (253 nucleotides) under uncultured bacterium. RNAcentral describes it as "partial 16S ribosomal RNA". It matches the Rfam family "Bacterial small subunit ribosomal RNA", at positions 524 to 776 of the family's 1533-position model. The record is from RNAcentral.
UACGGAGGGUGCAAGCGUUAUCCGGAUUCACUGGGUUUAAAGGGUGCGUAGGCGGGUAUGUAAGUCAGCGGUGAAAUCCCCGAGCUUAACUUGGGAACUGCCGUUGAUACUAUAUAUCUUGAAUGUCGUGGAGGUUAGCGGAAUAUGUCAUGUAGCGGUGAAAUGCUUAGAUAUGACAUAGAACACCCAUUGCGAAGGCAGCUCGCUACACAUAUAUUGACUCUGAGGCACGAAAGCGUGGGGAUCAAACAGG